CCUACGGGUGGCAGCAGUGGGGAAUAUUGGACAAUGGGCGAAAGCCUGAUCCAGCCAUGCCGCGUGUGUGAAGAAGGCCUUCGGGUUGUGAAGCACUUUCAGUGGGGAAGAAAGCCUUGGGGCUAAUACCCUCGAGGAAGGACAUCACCCACAGAAGAAGCACCGGCUAACUCCGUGCCAGCAGCCGCGGUAAUACGGAGGGUGCGAGCGUUAAUCGGAAUUACUGGGCGUAAAGCGCGCGUAGGCGGUCUGAUAAGCCGGUUGUGAAAGCCCCGGGCUCAACCUGGGAACGGCGUCCGGAACUGUCAGGCUAGAGUGCAGGAGAGGAAGGUAGAAUUCCCGGUGUAGCGGUGAAAUGCGUAGAGAUCGGGAGGAAUACCAGUGGCGAAGGCGGCCUUCUGGACUGACACUGACGCUGAGGUGCGAAAGCGUGGGUAGCAAACAGGAUUAGAUACCCUGGUAGUC
RNAcentral lists this ribosomal RNA (465 nucleotides) under Vreelandella stevensii. RNAcentral describes it as "partial 16S ribosomal RNA". It matches the Rfam family "Bacterial small subunit ribosomal RNA", at positions 338 to 795 of the family's 1533-position model. The record is from RNAcentral. Lineage: Bacteria; Pseudomonadati; Pseudomonadota; Gammaproteobacteria; Oceanospirillales; Halomonadaceae.